Molecule: ribosomal RNA, 1761 nt
Filed under: Triticum aestivum (bread wheat)
Lineage: Eukaryota; Viridiplantae; Streptophyta; Magnoliopsida; Poales; Poaceae
Description: partial small subunit ribosomal RNA
Source: RNAcentral
GGCGCUUUCUACAGUUCCCCUUCCCCGCUGCUCCAUCCUACAGUCAUGUGCCACCAUCAUUUUCGCCAUGUGUUUCAAGAGAGGUGCGAGCAAGAGGACAUCUGAUGCCCCCCCGGCGCCUAAGCGCCUGCCCGAAAGGUUGACAGGUCGGAACACCCGUACAUUGAUGGCCGCCGCAGAGGAGAUGGCUUUGGUGGUACAUGAGGGCGCAAGUUCGCCUCCGAAGGCGAAGAUGGAAAAUCCGCCCAUCCUUUCUCCUUUGAUUCUGAGGAUAGCAACCCAGCUUCGGGAGCGUGUCCUGGCUUACGGCGUUCCCGCGGAGCGUCCUCUACUUCCCGCUACCGUGGCUCACCCUAGCGAGGACUUUCCGGCAAUCCGGCGGGAGGAGUCCAUUUUUUUCAGUUUUGUGCUGGUGGUGCUUGUCCCCCUAUUUGCCAGGUUCUUUUUGGAUAUUCUUGAUGCUACCACAUUAACUUGAUUCAUUUGACACCCAACUCCAUCCUCAAUUUGUCUAUUUUCUCUCAUUUCUGUGAGAUGUUUGUCGGGGUUAUGCCCUCAGUGGCCCUAUGGCGUUGUACCCUACUUCCCAGUGCGACCCUCGAAUUCCUGGGAGUUGUUACUUCUGCUUGCGUGGUCACCACGAGGUAGAGUACCCGGCGCAUCAGUUUCGUUCCAAAUGGGACGAUUGGGAAAAGUCCCGGUGUUACAUCUAGGCAGAUGUGGGGUUAUCUACCUGGAUCCCUACUACGAGGGCGGUUCAUCGGGACGACUGGCAAAUCCCCUCCCAUGAAGACUACAAGAUGUGACCCGUUUCUGAUCUGGUGCACUUGAUGCGCUCCAGGGGGCUGACGACCGCCAAGGUGGUUGCUGAUUUUGUCAGGCGCCGUUUGCCUCCUCUGAAGAAGCGGAACCGGGCCGCCUGGACAUAUACGGAUGUGAAUGUCAUCGGUCGGACCCACUUCGGCCCAAAUAGCGUCCUUAGCGACGUGGCCAUGCUGAAGGUGGUGAAGAAGAUCCUGGUGGAUGAUUGCAGCUCCUUGGCCCCUCCAGAGGGAGUGGCGCCCCUGGCUGAGGAUCGCAUUCGGUUGGAGAUUCUCCACUACCUCCCUCUCUGCGACUCCAAAGGUGUCUGCCAAGGUUCAUCAGGGACGAUUCAGAUUGGGCAGCCGACUAGGACGACCGGGGAGGACUUCCUGAAUCGUAGUCCCGACAAAUGCUGCAACUACCGCCCAAUUUUUCCACCAGCUCCUUUUGGGGUUUCAUUUCUCGCCGUAAGUUUUAUUCCGCAUGAAUCCAUGAUUUUUUUACAUGUAUCCUCGUUGUUGGCUUAUACCUUUUCUUGUUAUGUCAGCUCUACGAAUGACGUUGGUUUUCCAGUGCAGGCCAGUGCUUUUGAGAACAACCUUCAUGAAUUUCUGACCUAGGGGAAGGGAGGUGGUCGACACCAAUCUCUUCACCAUGUCCCUCACCUCCCCGACUGCCUCCCCGGAACUGCUGCCCCACCAAGUAAUGGGGUUCAAAGCGGUCGCCUGGGCACUGGGCCUGGACCCAGUGGCGGACCUAGAGGCCCUGUACUAGGCAGCGGCCCCAUGCAUAGACUUACCCGAAGAGUUAAUCGAGGUCGGCCCCUCGGGGUACCUCAGUUCUCCUGAGGACGCCGCUCAGGGAGGGGGUGUAACACCCCGGAUGUAACUUUCCAUAUUUGUAACUCCAACUCUUGCCAUUUUCGGCUAUGUGUUAUGAUAUUCCCUCCGUGGUCGG